This 14537-nucleotide long non-coding RNA is filed under the name Panax ginseng (ginseng). RNAcentral's name for it is "long non-coding RNA (PGIN_LNC001472)". Lineage: Eukaryota; Viridiplantae; Streptophyta; Magnoliopsida; Apiales; Araliaceae. The record is from RNAcentral.
CUCGGUUGCCUGGAGAUUGAACCUGGGACGUUCAUUUUCGUCUUCAAGGUCUUUCUCUCUUUGAUCGACCUCUGACCAUUGGCAUAUAAUUCGGGAAGAGACUGCAACAUACUGAAAAUAGAGUAUAGUGGGUUAAUAAAGGGAAAUAAAAACUUUGGCAAGAAAAAGAGUUCGGAUAUGUUAAGUGCAUGAAGUUGGCAAACACAAGCUCUUCGAUACUUACGUUCUCGAACCGGGGUUCUUUGGCUGAGAGAACAAAGUGUUCAUAUAGCUCGUGUAGGAAGUAUUCUGGAUAUUUAGGCUAUAGUGUCAUCGAGGCUCCUACCUCUAAAACUCGGCUUGGUCCAGGUUGUUUUGGUGGAGAAGGGGGGUUGUAUUGAGGAGAUUGUUCAGGAGAUAUUUCGGUGUUGGAUAUUUUGGCUGGUGGUUCGGAGGAAGGGUCUUCAAGUUCUUUUCAUUUUUGGUUUUUGUUUAUGUUUGGUUCAGUGGUGUCUGUUAGAAUGUCUUUGGUGGUUGGGAUGUUUUCAGUUGAGGUGAUGCGGGUUUUAAACGAAGCAGUUUUAGGUGCUUUAGAGGUAUUUGUUUGGGCGGCAGCUAUGGUGCGUCUUUUUUUAAUCCGUAGGAUUUUAGUCCUUUUGGAAUUAGGCAUGCAUGUCCAAGGGACUUUUUCUGAAGUAUGGAAUGGGGAUUAUGGUCGGUUGAGGCACAUUUAUAGAUGGGUUCAGUUUGGUGGUAGAUGGACCUUCGGUUAUGGUCACUAAUGGUGUGGUCUUAGUGAUAGGAGGAACAACGAAGGAUUGACUAGUGUCUUUGGGGUUGAUGUUUUCGUUGUUGACCCUUUCGGAGGAUGUUGGCUUGAUGAGGGAUAUUGUACACGAAUAAUGGGUCAGAAUCAGAAAUGACGAGUUAAAAUAUAUAAGAAUAUAAGAAAGGAAAGAAGGAUUUUGGAGACUUACAUUUAUGCUUUUAUAACCAGGAUUGCUUGGUCAGGAGGUUGAAAUCCCAUUCUCUCAUUGGCAAUUUUCCGAUUAGUUCACUAUUUCAACAAACUCUGUUUGGGGGAAUUUCUCCAAUGGUGACGUUUGGCCUUCCAUAGUUGGCCCAGUCUGGGAUUUGGUGAGUAUUGGGCCCUCAGAUGAAGAAUCAGUGUGUGUGCCACCCCUUAUUGCUCGAAGGGGUGCUCAUUAGGGAUCACUUUUCUAUAUGAUGAUUUGGUUUUGAUUCUUGUUUGCUUAGGGCACAAAACCCUGGUUCUCGCGAUUGGCCUAGAGAAAACAAGGAGAAGAAGAAGUCAAGUGUUGGGGGAACACCGAGCUCAUGGAAAAUAGCGAUGAAUGCAACGAUGUCAAUGUAGGAGUUUGGCACCAGCUAUGCAAAGUUGAUGCCAAUAAACCAUAAUAAGGUGAUGAUGAAGGCGUAAAGGGGUAGCCGAACCCCUUUCUCCAGCAGGGUAAGAGGUAUCGUGGUCCAGCCAUCAAUAAAGUGGUACAUCCAGUUAAAUUCAGAAGGGGCUUUGAGCUAGUGGGUUUCAGGGAUGUGAUAGUGUUCCCAUAUUAUGGUGAGGUCAUCUUCAGUGAUGGUGGUUGUCAUGGGAAAAUUGUGUUUCAUUUGAGUACUCUCUAAUCAUUUUUUGAAAUUCCAACUAUGCCUUAGAUAGGGUUGAAGUUUAGGGGGCAGAGCUGGUGGUAACAGUGGUGGAUUCAUAGGUGGUGGUGGUUGUGGUGUUGUUGGUGUUGGUAGUGAUAGCGUUUACUGGUAGAGCAGGAAUGGAAGAAAUGGGGAUGGCGUUGAUGGGAUCAUUGUUGGGUGGGCUGGAUGAUAUUGGAGUGCUUGAGGAAGCCAUUGAAGAUUGAAGAAAUGAGUUUUGCCAAAAAAAAUUGCAGUAGAGAAGAGAGGGCUUUGAGAAUUUGAAAUUGAGAAGGCGUAUUCAUCUGGUUUGGGGGGGAGGGGUUUUGAAAUGAAAUAUCUUUUCAACUUUGCGCACUUCUCGGUGUACGACUGUAAGACCCCAAAUUUUUUUAUAAAUAAAAUGGAAUUUCCUUUAUUUAUUAUUUUGAAAUAGUAAGGGUUUAUUUGAUUAAUGUGGUUAGUUGUGGGUAAAAUACGCAAAUAUUUUAAAUAAGCAAGUGGUUAUAAAAUAUUCAUUGUUGACGGGGAAUAUUCGUUUGGUCGUGGAAUAUUCUUGCUGUCGGGGAAUAUUCAUACGACGGCGCAACCUUGUGUGGGCCCCAUAACGGAAAGCGAUUGGAUAAAGAAAACGACAAGAAUAAGUUAUUUAUAAAUAACGGCGUAGUUGUUACCGUUAAUACUGUUGAAAUACUCAGUGGUUAAAAUACAGUAGCACACGGUUUUGCACCAAUUAUUGAUUCUUACGUAAGAAGGCACUAUUCAAUAAUUGUUACAGUAAUUAAUGUUCAAUAUUUUAUUUUAUUGAUUUAAUAAUUGAUACGUUGAUAUUUUAUAUUAUUGUUGUUUCAAUAAUUGUCACUGCGUAGUAUUUUCAUUAUCAGAUCAAUAAUUCAUAUUAUUGGAAUAAUAUUAUUAGAUAACAUUAUUGGCAAUGUCUAGAAAGUUCUGUCUAAGGAGAGGUUUGGUCACCUAAUUGCACGCCAGUAAGGAGAAAUUCUUAUUAGAAAGCCCCCUCUUUCUUGGGAACGGCCUGGUUUCCAGUAUUGUGAUUCUGUAAUAUUAUUUGUGAAUAAUUAAUUAUGGAUUUAUAUGAUAAGGAAAAUAUUCAUUUUAUAUGGAUAUAGAUGGAGAAAAUUUUUAAUGUGACAAUUGUUGAAAAUUGAUAUUUUAUCUUUUUCUGAUAAAAUAAUACAUUUAAAUAUAUUAUUAUAUUUUAAUAAUAUAAUAAUGGUGAUAUUUUUACAAUGAAAGUGUGAUAUAUGAAUAAAUGAGGAGGAAGAAUAUUUUUGUUACAAUAAAUAUUAAAAACAUGUUUUUGCAUGUUUGUGGACCCCAUUUCUUAACUGAAAUUUGAUUAUAGCCUGUAAAAUCGUCCGUUUGUGGAUUUCGGUCAAUUUCUGUUUGGAAUUUGGAAAAACUUAAACUUACAAAGUUGUAGAGAAUGGAAUUUCCUAUGAAAAAGACAUAAGGUUCAAAUUUUUCUGAUAAAAGGGCUAUUUAUUAUGAAUUAUUGAAGUUCCAAAGUUCCAGAAUAAUUGAUUUUUGAAGUUUUAAAUAUUUUUUAAAAGAAAAACGUUUUUUUAUUUGUGGGGCAUGUGUUAAAUGGUUGAAAUCAGCUGGUGGUGUGCUUAGGAAUUUAGUUUAUAAAUAAUAUUAUUAUAUUAAAUUUUCUGCUUUGGUGUUCUAAGUAUUUUUCUAUAAAUAGGGUGCUUAGGUUACACUUAAAAAUCACACCAGAAACUGAAGUUUUCUCUCUUUAUAUUAUCGAACGUAUUCUUGUGAGUAUUUUGAUAUCUUGAGUGUUUCUAUACGGUGCAAGUUUCCUUCAGCGUUAUAUCUGAUAUUCCAGCCAGAAGUACUAUUCUUUUGAGGUAAGGGAUGUUAUUUUUUAAAAAAAUGAUAUUAUCUAAGGAUAAUUUGUUGUACAUUAUCUUAGUCAUAAUAUCUUUUACUGGGCUAGUUGAGCACACCCUUUUCCUUUUUGUUCUAUUUUUCUUCUCAGGAGGCGAAAUUAUAGCAGGAACUAGUCGGGGUGUGGAGUGAUGGUUCAAGAUAGUUAUUUUAGUAGUCCUCACUAUUCUGUAAAAUAGUGUAUCAAUAAUUAUAAUGAGGACUUUAUUUGGGUGUGAAUAUUGUCUAGAUGACAAUAUUUGUAUUUAAACUCACAGUUUAUGUGUUGUCGUAUUUUGCACGACAAAUGUAUUAAUAAAGUUGUAGUUAUUUCUGUACUAUGUAUUUGGCGACUCAGAAUGGGUUGGAUGAAAUGGACCUAUUUUGGGGGCGUCACAACGACUAUUAAAUGGCCUGUUAUGAUUAUGAACGUGAGUAUAAUAAUAGAGACGGAUUUGGUGUUUUGGGCAGUUUUUCAAAGGAGUUGGGUUAUGUGUUCUUUAUGAUUAAUUAUUAGGCUUUUAAUGAGGAACUCUUUCAUUAAAUGUAUCAUUUAAAAGAAGACUCGGGGACAAUAUUGAAGUGUGAAUAUUAAGGCCGGAUUUGUAUAGUGGACCAAAGUUCACGUGGAGGUAUUUAACCCUAUGUAGGAAUCUGUUUUGGCAGUUGAAUAUUUUUAGAAAUCAAAGAUUUCUAAUUGUAUUUAAUUUUCAACUCCUAAGGAAAGUGUCAGGAUAUAAUUUGAUUUUCUUUCUUUAAAGAGAAUCAGUUCGAUCCCAUUAAGGAAUCAUACCUAAGGAGGAAUCAUAUUUCUACACGGGGAAGGAGGUGUGAUCACUAUAAAUACAAUGUUAUAUCCUAAUUUUCAGGUACACAAAAUAUUAUUUACAACACUAUAGCAUAAAAUUUCCAUUGUUAAACUUUAUUCAGCAUGUACUUAUUCUCACACCGGAACCAUCCUCUGGCGGCAUAAGCUGUCAAGUUUCGCGUGUGAUUUCAUUUUUAUGCAGGAUUUAACGCAAUUUUGAUUAUUGAGACGUGUGAACGAAUCUUGACAUUAUCAAUAGACCACCUAACUAUGAUUUAUUGAAUUUUUUUGAAUGUCUGUCCUAUCCGUGGCUACGUCUGUAUGUUCCAUCCAAACUUCAUCCUUGAUCCAAACCUUGUAUCUUUUUUAGGUUAUUCCACGUCUCAAGCUGCUUAUAAGUGUUAUGAUCCCAUGUCCAAAAGGCUCUAUAUUUCUCGCCACGUUCAAUUUGUUGAAUCCACAAUGGUAUCUCUACAUGACACAAUAACUACUCAUUUCUCUCCCUCGACUAAGUCUAUUGACCAGGUCAUCACCUCCUCCCAUAUCAUUGCCACCUCUUUCUACACAUUUUCUUUCUCUAUAGCCCACCCCUUAGACCUGACAAUAUAGUUGGUUAAUUAUUAAAUCAACUAAUAUUAACUAGAAUCGAAUGAGUUAGUUAACUAUUUUAUUUAUUUAAGUUGAGUAAGGUUUAGAACCAUAUUUUUAAAAAGAAAUAUAGGUCCAAACCGGUUAACUAUUUUUCGACUCAUAUUUCAUUCCAAAUCCAAAUCAAAAGUUCUUUUCACCCAAUAUUCAAAAAAUAUUUAUUUAAAAAAAUAAUAUUUAGUGAUUAUGUAUACCCCCACCCCAACCCCAACCCCAACCCCAAAAAAAUAAUAUUCAUUAAUUAUGUAUAUACCCCACUCCCUACCUCAAUCCCACAUCCCCCAUCAGGGGCGGAUCUACCCUAGGGGCAGGGGGGCACCUGCCCCCAUUGAAUUUUCGUCCAUGUGUUGUGCCCUCCUUGGCUCCUUCCCUUUCUCCAUAGUACACACCCCCAUCACCAAACUCUUUUUGUAUAAGUGACUUUUUAAAGUAAUGAUAAUUUUAUACUACUUCUCUUAUUUCUCUCUCUAUGUGUAAUAUUUGACUCAAAAAGUAAGUACUCUCUUCUACUUUCUUUUCUUUUUUAACUAACAUUCUGUAAAGUUUUUUAGUUGUGUAAAGUUUUUUAGUUGUAGAAAAAAAUGAGAAGAAAUUUUUUGACUCGAAAUACUCUCAUUUUUUUAAUAUUUUUUUCUAAUUAAAAUUCAAAAAUACCUUUUCUUAAAUUUUUUUCUCUUUUAUUACAAAAUUGACAUUAUCUCUUUUUAUUUUCAUUCACUUCCUUUUCUUUUAUCACCAAAUUAAAACUCAAAGACAAAGACAAGGUGUUAAAACUCAAAGACUAUUUACUUAGUUUUCUUUAUCCCGUGUGGCCUUAUCCAACUCUUUUGGAUUUGUCACAUUUGUACUAUAUUGAGUUUUUAAUAAAAAAAUUUGUUGAUUAAAAANNNNNNNNNNNNNNNNNNNNNNNNNNNNNNNNNNNNNNNNNNNNNNNNNNNNNNNNNNNNNNNNNNNNNNNNNNNNNNNNNNNNNNNNNNNNNNNNNNNNUUCUUAACAAAAAAAAUCGAAUUUGACCCCACUCAACUUUGUGGCUGGAUCCGCCCCUGUCCCUCAUCCCCAUCCCCAUCCCCAUCCCCAUCCUAAAAAUAAAAAUAAAGGUAAGUUUGAAAUUUAAAAUAUGGGACUACCAAUAUUUGAAUCAUAAUUAUAUGAUUUUAACUCACACAACUCAUUUUAAAAAUUAUUAAUAUAAUUUUAGUUCUUAAAUAAAAUCAUAAUUAUAUUUUAUAAAUCAAAACCAACUUAUGACUAUUCCCUCCGUUUCUAAAAGAUUGUCGUUUUAGAAGAAAAAAUUUGUUCUAAAAAGUUUGUCAUAUAUAACUUUCGAGGAGAAUAAAUUAUUUAUUUUCUUAAAUUAUCCCUACCUUCUCUCAUUGUCUUAAGAAAUUCUCUUCUUUGUAUUAAUAGUUUUCAAUUUUUCAUAAAAGAGUAGUAAUAAAAUUUCAAACAAAUUUUAUUUGAUAAAUAAUACUUUCUUAAUUUAUGUACAAAAAUCUUAAAUAACAAUCUUUUAAGAACUUAUUCAGUAUAUUUUAUCAGGUCUACUCACGCCCCCACAAUUCACAUCUUCUGAAUACCAAAUUCCAAAAAGCCCGUCAUCCCAAUCCUAAAUAGUAUAACUCCCAAUAUAUAAACCACAACACCACCAAUCUUAUUCUUAUUAAAGUUAGCAAUUGGGCGUCCUUCUGUUGACUAAGAGAAUAAUAUAAAUUAAGCACAUGGUCAAGAUCAUCUAGAUAGAACUUAGUCUCUCACAUAAUCAUAUUUCACAUAAAUAAUUUCAGUAUAUAUAUAUAUAUAUAUAUAUAUAUAUAUACACACACACACACACACUAAAAUGACAAUCCCUAGUAACCAAUAAUUCGUCACUUGUCCGAGUUUUUGGGUUUUACAAUAUUGUCACAGUUGUACAAUUAUAUUUUAUACAAUUAUAUUUUAUACAAUUAUAUUGAGAAUUGAUAUAUUUUCUAUUUUAUAUAUAUAUAGAGAGAGAUUAUUGUACCUCUUUUAUAUUUUAUAUAAUUAUAUACAAAAUUGAUAUUUUUACAAAUUAAAAAAAAUUCACAUAAAUAAUAGAAAGACCUCAUAUUUAUAUAAAAGAAAUUUUGUAAAAAUAUCAAUUCUCCAUUUAAAUAUACACGAAGUAAGCAAUACUGCAUAUGGGUGAGAUAACAUAUGAAAUAAAUAAUAUGACAUGAGUCAUCUAUCAUACAUGAGUGGAAUAUUGGACCCAUUGUAAGAUCAAUAAAUAAAUACUACACUUCUCUAUUUUAAUAAUUAACUCCAAUAUAUAUAUAUAUAUAUAUAUUGAGAUAAAAAUAUUACCCCAAGUAUCAUAAAUUUUACUCUUUUUUGGAGGACCAAAGAAGAGAAUAUGGUGGAGCAAAUUCUUUUAGAAUUGUGAUGGCAAAGUUUAGGUAAUAUUAUUAGCUGAAAUAAGUAUGUCCUAACUUGGUUUUAUCAUAAAGUUUGAAAUUGUUAAAAUUUAUUCCUUGUUUUUAAUAAUUUAAGGGAACAUGCAUUCAUGUUAGAAAAAAUCACCACCCAAAUACUGUUGUCUUUGAUAAAUUAGACUGAUAAAAUAUCAGUAUAUGCCAAACAGAUUAAUUUUGCAAUUCCACCAAAAUAAUAACCACUGCAGGAAAUAAUAAAUAGAAAAUAUCAAACCACGAGACACCAAGAAUUUUACGUGGAAAACCCUCUAAAACUAAGAGGUAAAAAUCACGGGACGAUCUCCGAAAAAUCCAUUAUAAUAAACUGAGAGAAUACAAAGAUAUCUUAAUUUGAGUACAAACUCAAAUUACUUCACCACAAUAACUAUGUGAUGGAACCCAAAUAAAACACUCUUUUAUUUGAACUAUCUCUCUCUCUAUUUUUCUAAAACUUUACAAAAGCUUUUCCUCUCUCUUCUUUCUUACUCUCGGAUGAAGUAUAUUUUGUUGGUAUAUCUCAUCCUUCUUCCUUAGCCUCCUUUUAUAGCCAAAUGAGGAGGAGAGAGAUUGGCUAAAUUAUGAGGUAGGUAGGAAAGUAGAAGGUGGAGUGGGUGGGUGAGGAAACAUAAUGAGUGGGAGUGGGUGGAAUUGAUAAUGAGUGGGAGUGGGUGAGGACACCUUUUUGACUAACAAUCUCCCCCUCCGAACCCAAUCUCCGUGACCCCGUCACUUGGAGUCCAUCCCGACCAAUUCCUUGCAAAAUUCCAGCUUGUCACGAGUAACAACUUUUGUUAACAUGUCUGAGGGAUUCUCGUCAGUAUGAACUUUCUUCACUUUCAUCAAUUCCUUUUCCAUCACUUCUCGAAGCCAGUGAUAACGAACAUCAAUAUGCUUGGUCCGAUUAUGAUACGUGGCAUUCUUGGUCAAGUCAAUUGCACUCUGACUAUCACAAUAAACCACGUACUCAUCUUGUUUUAAACCCAACUCUUGGAGAAACCGUUUUAACCACAACAUCUCCUUGCCUGCUUCAGUAGCAGCGAUGUAUUCUGACUCAGUUGUAGACAAAGCAACACACUUUUGCAACUUGGACUGCCAUGAUACUGCUCCCCCUGCAAAAGUAAACAAAUACCCCGAAGUAGACUUCUUCUCUUCAGAACCUGCCAUGUCUGCAUCUGUAAAACCCUCCAAGACUGGACUCGUACUACCAAAAACCAAACAUAAACUGGAAGUAGCUUUCAAGUAUCUGAGAAUCCACUUAACUGCUUCCCAAUGUUCUCUGCCAGGAUUUGACAAAUACCUGCUCACAACGCCAACUGCAUGAGCAAUAUCUGGCCGCGUACAAACCAUUGCAUACAUAAGACUCCCUACAGCAGAGGAGUAGGGAACUGCUUCCAUAUCAUCUCUCCCUUCCUUGGUAGAAGGACACAUGCACUUUGUCAACUUAAUAUGACUAGCCAGUGGUGUGCUAACUGGUUUAGCAUCACUCAUGUUGAAUCUUGCAAGCACCCGCUCAACAUACUUCUCUUGUGACAACCACAACCUCUUGGCUUUCCUGUCACGAACAAUCUUCAUACCCAAAAUCUGUUUAGCUGGACCUAAGUCCUUCAUAUCAAAGGACUUGAACAACUCACCCUUGAGCCUGCGAAUCAUAUCAGCAUCCUGCCCAACUAUCAACAUAUCAUCUACAUAUAGCAAUAAAAUAACGAAGUUACCAUCUGGGAACCUCUUGACAUACACACAGUGAUCUGCAAUUGUUCUACUAUAACCUUGAUCCACCAUAAAUGAAUCAAAUUUCAUGUACCACUGCCUUGGAGCUUGUUUCAGGCCGUACAAACUUUUCUUCAACUUGCAGACCAAGUGUUCUUUCCCUUUAACUUCAAAUCCCUCUGGCUGUUCCAUGUAGAUUUCUUCCUUCAAAUCACCAUGAAGAAAAGCAGUCUUAACAUCCAACUGCUCAAGCUCAAGAUCCAUACUAGCAACUAAUCCCAGCACUACUCGAAUAGAAGUCAUCUUUACGACUGGAGAAAAAAUCUCAUCGAAGUCAAUACCUUGCUUUUGAGCAAAACCCUUGACAACUAGUCGAGCCUUGUACUUUACUAGUUUAUCGCCAUCCUUCUUAAGCUUAAACACCCAUUUGUUCUUCAAUGUUUUCUUGCCUUUCGGAAGUGUAGUCAACUCAUAGGUGUGAUUCUUGUGCAAAGAAUCCAUCUCAUCUUGCAUAGCUCUCAGCCAAUUGCCCUUGUCCUUAUGAGUCUUGACUUCUUGAAAAUCCUCUGGCUCCCCCUCCUCAGCAACUAAAAGAUAUUCAGAUGAAGGAUAUCUGACUGAUGGCACACGUUCUCUAGUGGAUCUUCUCAGCUGAGGUUCUUCAAUAUCAGGUUGCUCCCCCUGAUCAAUACUCUCUGCAUCUGACCCAUCACCAUCGUGCAAAUCUGUAUCAGUCAUAUCUUCAUUCUGACCUCCUUCUCUAACUGUGGCAUUCUGUACUGGAGGAGGAACUUCGCUGAGGUCUAGAACUCUAUUAUCUCUGGGAUGUGUAGCAUUAUCAGAAUGCUCAUAAUUUUGGUGCUCAUGAAACACCACAUCUCUGCUCCUGAAUAAUUUUCUUUGCACUGGAUCCCAUAACCGGUAUCCAAAUUCUGCAUCUCCAUAGCCAACAAAUACACAUGGAGUAGAUUUGUCAUCAAGCUUCGAUCUUUGUUCCUUGGGGAUAUGUGCAAAAGCCUUGCACCCAAAUACCCUCAAAUAAGAAUAAGACAAAUCCUUCCCACUCCAAAUAUUUUCUGGAAUCUGAAAAUCCAACGGUGCUGACGGAGAUCUGUUAAUCAGGUAACAAGCAGUACGAACAGCUUCACCCCAGAAUGACUUAGGUAGCUUAGCCAUUCUCAACAUGCAUCGCACUUUUUCAAUAAUAGUGCGGUUCAUCCUCUCAGCCACACCAUUAUGCUGUGGGGUACCAGGAACAGUCUACUCAUGCCGAAUGCCAUGCUUACUGCAGUAUUCAACAAACUCCUUUGAAGUGUAUUCCCCUCCGUUGUCGCUACGAAGACACUUCAACGAUUUUCCAGUCUCCCUUUCAACCAUAGCAUGAAAACUCUGAAAAUGCUGGAAUACCUGGUCUUUUGUUCUCAACAAAAAUACCCACACCUUCCGCGAAGCAUCAUCAAUAAAGGUAACAAAGUACCUAUUUCCACCCAAAGACUCAACCUCAAUGGGUCCACAUACAUCGGAAUAUACUCUCUCUAGUAGUUCUGAUUUUCUUUUAGCUGAACUACUAAAAGAGACUCUAUGUUGUUUCCCAAACAAACAAUAAUCACAAGGGCUUAAAACAGUACCUUUAGCAGAAGGAAUGAGUGACCUUUUUGCUAAUAACUGCAACCCUUUCUCACUCAUGUGGCCAAGCCUCUUAUGCCAUAAGUUUGGUGAAGAGUCAUCCUCAACUGCAUUCAAUUCACUAGAACACAUCUUCACAUGAGUCUUGUACAACGAACAACAAGCAGCUCCUCUUGCAAUCACCAUAGAGCCCUUGGUAAGCUUCCACUUUCCACUGCCAAAGUGAUUCUCAUAGCCUUCUCUGUCUAAGGCCAUGCCAGAAAUCAGGUUGAGACGCAAAUCUGGAACGUGUCUAACAUCCCUCAAGGUAACAGUGCAACCAACACCUGUCUGAAUGCAAACAUCUCCAAUUCCAAUAAUCUUGGACUGAUCAGUAUUUCCCAUUCUCACGUACCCAAAGUCUCCAGCUUUGUAAGUUGUGAAAAAUUCUCUCUUAGGUGUAGCAUGAUACGAGGCACCAGUAUCAACCACCCAAUCAACUUUCUGAUCAUCAACGUGCAAGCAUUCUUCUUCCCCAAAUGAAAGAAUAACAACAUCUUCGGUGACUGUGGCUGCAGUGUUCUUCUCCUCAACCUUUCCCUGCUCACCAUUUUUCUGCUUGUCUAACCAGAUUCUGCAAUUUCUCUUGUAAUGACCUUCCUUAUUACAAUGGAAGCAUCUAUACGUUUCACCUUGUCUGGUCUUUGACUUGCUCCUGUAGCUUUUGCUUUUGCUGCGACUUGUAUCUCCUUUGUGAGAUCCUCUAAAAUUGCUUCUGCCCCUGUUCUCUGUGACAAGAGCAUGAGUCUCAAAAUUUACGCCUUGCUCCUUUCGCCUUGUCUCCUCAUUAUGAAGACUAUCCUUGACCAUCUGCAUAGUCAUUUUUCCUUCUGGAGCUGAAUUACUUAGAGACACCACCAAAGUCUCCCAGCUGUUUGGCAACGAACUGAGAAGCAAAAGAGCCUGAAUCUCAUCAUCAAGAUUCAACUUCAUGGUGGACAGCUGGUUCACCAAACCUUGGAACUCACUCAUAUGCUCCGACACACUGCUCCCGUCCUUGUACUUUAGAUUCACAAUUUUUCGAAUGACAAAAGUUUUAUUUUGUGCAUUCUUCUUCUCGUACAUAGACUCUAGUGUUGUCCAUAAAUUGUGAGCAUCCGUCUCCUGCGAAACAUGAUGGAACACACUUUGAUCAAUCCACUGCCGGAUGUGACCAAUAGUCUUCCUAUUCAUUUUAUUCCAAUCAGCCUCAGAUUUAUCCACGGGCUUCUUUCCCUUGAGCUCCAACGGAUCAUAUAAAUCCUUGCAAUAAAGGAUAUCCUCCAUUCUGGGCUUCCAGAUCGAAAAAUUUGAAGAGGUCAAUUUAAUCAUGGCUCCGACUGAUUCCUCCAUAAAAUUUAUCAAAAACAACCAAGCAAAUAACCUUAGCUUUGAUACCAGUUGUUGGGAAAAACACCACCCAAAGACUGUUGUUGUUGAUAAAUUAAAUGAAUAAUAAGUAAGAAAAACAAACAAAGAGACACCAAGAUUAUCAAACCACGAGACACCAAGAAUUUUUACGUGGAAAACCCUCUAAAACUAAGAGGUAAAAACCACGGGACGAUCUCCGAAAAAUCUAUUAUAAUAAACUGAGAGAAUACAAAGAUAUCUUAAUUUGAGUACAAACUCAAAUUACUUCACCACAAUAACUAUGUGAUGGAACCCAAAUAAAACACUCUUUUAUUUGAACUAUCUCUCUCUCUAUUUUUCUAAAGCUUUACAAAAGCUUUUCCUCUCUCUUCUUUCUUAUUCUCGGAUGAAGUAUAUUUUGUUGGUAUAUCUCAUCCUUCUUUCUUAGCCUCCUUUUAUAGCCAAAUGAGGAGGAGAGAGAUUGGCUAAAUUAUGAGGUAGGUAGGAAAGUAGAAGGUGGAGUGGGUGGGUGAGAAAAUAUAAUGAGUGGGAGUGGGUGGAAUUGAUAAUGAGUGGGAGUGGGUGAGAACACCUUUUUAACUAACAAUUCCGAUACAUUAACAAUUUUUUGGAAGUUUAAUUUGUAUUUAUGAUUACCCUAAUAAGUAUAUCUCAAAUAUGAGAAAGCCAGUCACAGUAAUAUGAAUAAAAAAUUGAGAUAAUUUUUUUUUCUCUAAAUGUCUCUAAAUUAUUAAAAUAUAAAAUUAAAUAAAAAUUAUUUAGAAGAUUAUAUUAAGAUAUAUUAAAAUAUAUUAAGAGAUGAGUUAUUAAUAUAUAUUAAGUUACAAUCAAAAGUUAAGCAAGCGGGCAAUGUGACCAGAACAUGUGAUAUGAGGUUUAUUUUUUUUACUAUUAUUUUGUAAUUUAUAAUACAUGAUGUGAGAUGUACUGGAAUCUUCGUGGUUAUUGACUAGAUAAUUUCUCCUAUUGGCUACUUAAACAAAGCCAGCUAUAACUGUCAUUUUCUUUCUAAUCUUGUCUAGUGGUAAAUUUCUAAUCAACAAAUUUUAUAACGAAGGAAAUGUUAAGUGAUAAGAUAUAAUAAAUUAAUAUGAGUUUUAUUUAAUUUAUUUUUAUUUUAUAUAUUUAAAUACGUUAGUAUUUAUUAUCUGACACGUCAUAUAUAAUUAGAAUUUUUUUAUAUAUAUUAUAAUUAAUUUACGUAUAAUAACUUUGAAGAAUAUUGAAACUAAUUGUCAUUAUUAUGUAGCAUGCGUUUCUUACUUAUUAGCACGGAUCACUAAAAAAGGUGACAUUCUAAGAAAUUUUGUUCCAAAGUAUAAAGAUAAUAUUGUCUUUUUAGUGUUCGUUUGAGAUACUUUUAGAUUUAAAGUUGACAUAAAUUUAUAUUAUUUUAGUUAAUAUAAUUAUGAAUAUAUCUAAAAUAUUCUACUAAUUCUACAUAUAUUAUUUCUUUAAUGAAUCUUUGAACAUAUUUUAAACAAACUUUUAUAAAUUAAUAAUUAUCUUAUAAUUUGAAAUAAUUAAAAUAAAGAUUUAAACUGAGUGAAAUAAAAAUUUAAGACGUGGAAUAUACAUGCAUCUAACACUAUGAUUAUAAUAAAUUCAUAAUUUUGAGAAGAUAUGAUCUUCUUAUGAGUUACUUACCCAUUCCAAAAUAAUUGUUUAAUUUUACUUUUUCAAUCAAAUCGAUCUAGUACAAGCUAGUAAGUUAUUUUUUCAUUAUUUCUGAUAAAAUUCAGGUGAAAGAAUUAUACUCAUAAAAAAAUAUGUAUAAUAUAUACAAACCCCAACUUUUACCAUUUCACAUUUAUAUCUACAAACGCUUAAUUAAUCACUAAUUUUCAGAAUAAACAAUUUAAUCAAGAAAUUAUUUUGAAACGGAAGGAGUAUGAUAUACCGAUAUAUACACAUAUAUGUAAUUUAGCAAUUAAAAACAAAUAAAUUAGAAGAAGAAAUAAAAAGGAUUAGUAUAACUUACGUAAGAAGAUAUGUUUCCUUUAACUAAAGAUUGAUUGAAGGCACUAGGGAAGAGUUGAAAAGGGUAGGCAGAGUCAUAAAGAACAAGACAUGCAAGAACAGCCGUUGCAAAUAACAACAUAAUCCUUGGGACUUGAUGAAAGAAUUGCUGGAUGUGGUGGUGGUGGUGGUUGCCGCUGUUGGCCGACUCUAACGGAACUUUUCCGGCCUCCAUGCCGGUGACCUCUCCAGAAUUCAUUGGUGUAUUUGAUUGAUAUGAUGGAUCUUUUUCAUGGUAUACGUAUUUGAACAAGUAUAAACUAGCUCUUGUUCUCUAAUUAUAGGAUUAACUGCGUAUUGGACCCCGAAGUAUGUACUCUUUUGCACUUAGUACCCUCAGUUCAAAAACUCUCAUCCCGCUACCCAAACUACUCUCAAGUAAUUAUAAC